CACGAAAGCGUGGGGAGCAAACGGGAUUAGAUACCCCGGUAGUCCACGCCCUAAACUAUGGAUGCUAGCUGUUAGGAGUAUCGACCCUCUUAGUAGCGAAGCUAACGCGUUAAGCAUCCCGCCUGAGUAGUACGAACGCAAGUUUAAAACUCAAAGGAAUUGACGGGGACCCGCACAAGCGGUGGAGCGUGUUGUUUAAUUCGAUGGUAAGCGAAGAACCUUACCCAGGUUUGACAUCCUCGGAAUUUCUCCGAAAGGAGAGAGUGCUUUAUUGAGCCGAGUGACAGGUGUUGCAUGGCCGUCGUCAGCUCGUGUCGUGAGAUGUUUGGUUAAGUCCAUCAACGAGCGCAACCCUUAUAGUUAGUUGAAUUUCUCUAGCUAGACUGCCCCGGUAACGGGGAGGAAGGGGGGGAUGAUGUCAGGUCAGUAUUACCCUUACACCUGGGGCUACAAACACGCUACAAUGGCCGGUACAAAGGGCUGCCAACCCGCGAGGGGGAGCAAAUCCCAUCAAAGCCGGUCUCAGUUCGGAUUGCAGGCUGAAACCCGCCUGCAUGAAGCUGGAAUCGCUAGUAACGGUAGGUCAGCACACUACCGUGAAUACGUUCCCGGGUCUUGUACACACCGCCCGUCAAGUCAUGAAAGUCACCAAUACCUGACGUCUGAAUUUAUUUCGGCCUAAGGUAGGGGAGAUGAUUGGGACUAAGUCGUAACAAGGUAU
Molecule: ribosomal RNA, 721 nt
Filed under: uncultured bacterium
Lineage: Bacteria
Description: bacterial SSU rRNA
Rfam family: Bacterial small subunit ribosomal RNA
Source: RNAcentral